Molecule: unclassified non-coding RNA, 253 nt
Filed under: uncultured Parcubacteria group bacterium
Lineage: Bacteria
Description: contains 16S-23S intergenic spacer region
Rfam family: Bacterial small subunit ribosomal RNA
Source: RNAcentral
UACAGAGGCCUCAAGCGUUAUCCGGAAUCAUUGGGCGUAAAGGGUGCGUAGGCGGCUUUAUUAGUCUCUUGUUAAAUACUUCGGCUCAACCGGAGAUUCGCGGGGGAAACGGUAAAGCUAGAGAUUGUGAGAGGUGUGUGGAACUCAUGGAGUAGGGGUGAAAUCCGUUGAUAUCAUGGGGAACACCAAAAGCGAAGGCAACACACUGGCACAUUUCUGACGCUGAGGCACGAAAGCUAGGGUAGCGAACGGG